RNAcentral lists this ribosomal RNA (274 nucleotides) under uncultured bacterium. Its description in RNAcentral is "partial 16S ribosomal RNA". It matches the Rfam family "Bacterial small subunit ribosomal RNA", at positions 523 to 796 of the family's 1533-position model. The record is from RNAcentral.
AUACGGGGGGUGCAAGCGUUAUUCGGAUUUAUUGGGCGUAAAGGGCGCGUAGGCGGCUUGGUAAGUCAGAUGUGAAAGCCCGGGGCUCAACCCCGGAAGUGCAUUUGAAACUAUCAGGCUUGAGUAUGGGAGAGGGAAGUGGAAUUCCUGGUGUAGAGGUGAAAUUCGUAGAUAUCAGGAGGAACACCGGUGGCGAAGGCGACUUCCUGGACCAAUACUGACGCUGAGGCGCGAAGGCGUGGGAAGCAAACAGGAUUAGAUACCCGGGUAGUCC